This is a long non-coding RNA of Prosopis cineraria, 987 nucleotides long. RefSeq lists it as uncharacterized. NCBI's taxonomy places the organism in Eukaryota, Viridiplantae, Streptophyta, Magnoliopsida, Fabales, Fabaceae. The record is from RefSeq and is a predicted model, not a curated record. The transcript is spliced from 3 exons.
AACCCAUCUUGGUUCUUGCUUAUGAGGUUUGGUGAUCAAAUCCCGGUGAUGUCCAAAGAGAUAUUUUAUUUUGGUUGUCUGAUCAAAGAAAUUGCCAUUUUUGCCCUGAAAAUAAUAAUAGUAAAUAUAAUCAUAAUAAUAAAGAGACAAUAGGAAUGAGGGGGCACGCAUUAGAUUGUUUUCCUUUUACUCUAAUCGUCUUCAGCUUCGAAGGUUCCAGAGUAAGGAGAGCAUGUGAGAGAGAGAAAGAGAGCUUCGGACCAUAGCCUCCAUCUUCGUCGCCAUUGCCGGUGCUGGGAUUGUUGCUGUGACUCAUCUUCACGUGUUAUCUUCAACCUUCUUCCUUUUUCGAAGCAGAGUACUAGUGCCAAUUUUAGGUUCUCCUGGCUAUGCGGUCGUGGGUGUUCAAAUCUUCUUUUCCUUUCCCUCCAUCUUUAUCCGUCUACCGCUGCAAGAAGUUCCGACAAUGUCACAAUCCGUGCGUGUUAGUCGGUGGAGAGAGAGCUUGAGGAUUUUCCAAAAUCUUUGAACCCUCGUCCGGACUUCUGUCCUCCGCCAUCAGUUCUGUAUUCUACUGGUUGCCGGUGACUCCAUAAACGCCGGAGUCUUCACCGUGGGAAAGGAUAAACGGGUUGUCUGUAGCUUGUGGUUAUGAGCUCGCCGGCGUGCUUGUCAUUGCUGUUGUCUCAUCCACCCUUGAUCAACAAAAACGUGAUGUCUUCCUCCUCCUCUGUUCCAAAUCAAUUUUUUUCCUUUUCUUCAUCAUUGGCGUGGCUAUGUAGGUGAAUAGGAGAACUUAUUUCUUUUGUUCUGCUUGCUCAAUCAAUUACUAGUUUGCUCAUCUCUUUUUUAUGCCAACAGCGAUCUUCCUCUCUUUCACUGUGUAGACGAACAUUCUCUUCCCCCUCUUGGUUUGUGUGUUGUUAGUUUAUCAAAGGUGAGAAUCUUUGAUCUCUUCUCCUUAGAAAAUUCUGUGCGUGUGAGAUG